This 91-nucleotide transfer RNA is filed under the name Caudoviricetes sp. RNAcentral describes it as "tRNA-OTHER". Lineage: Duplodnaviria; Heunggongvirae; Uroviricota; Caudoviricetes. The record is from RNAcentral.
GUCGAGGUAACCGCAGCAGGUAGUGCGGAUGGAUCGUCCUAAGUAUGGGAUGAGCGUCGGAUGGAAAGGGGUUCGAUUCCCCUUCUCGGCA